GCAGCCGCGGUAACACGUAAGUUGCGAGCGUUGUUCGGAAUUAUUGGGCGUAAAGGGCAUGUAGGCGGUCGUGCAAGCUUGGUGUGAAAUCCCGGGGCUUAACUCCGGGACUGCGUUGAGAACUGCACGGCUAGAGUAACUGAGGGGCAGCCGGAAUUCCAGGUGUAGGGGUGAAAUCUGUAGAUAUCUGGAAGAACACCAAUGGCGAAGGCAGGCUGCCAGCAGAUUACUGACGCUGAGGUGCGAAGGUGCGGGGAGCAAACAGGAUUAGAUACCCC
This 278-nucleotide ribosomal RNA is filed under the name uncultured Treponema sp. Its description in RNAcentral is "partial 16S ribosomal RNA". It matches the Rfam family "Bacterial small subunit ribosomal RNA", at positions 511 to 788 of the family's 1533-position model. Lineage: Bacteria; Pseudomonadati; Spirochaetota; Spirochaetia; Treponematales; Treponemataceae. The record is from RNAcentral.